AUUGAACGCUGGCGGCAGGCCUAACACAUGCAAGUCGAACGAGUGGCGGACGGGUUAGUAAUGUCUGGGAAACUGCCUGAUGGAGGGGGAUAACUACUGGACACGGUAGCUAAUACCGCAUACCAUCAGAUGUGCCCAGAUGGGAUUAGCUUGUUGGGGGGGUAACGGCUCACAACGGCGACGAACCCUAGCUGGUCUGAGAUGAGAACCAGCCACACGGGAACUGAGACACGGUCCAUACUCCUACGGUAGGCAGCAGUGGGGAAUAUUGCACAAUGGUCGCAAGCCUGAUGCAGCCAUGCCGCGUGUAUGAAGAAGGCCUUCGGGUUGUAAAGUACUUUCAGCGGGGAGGCGUUACCCGCAGAAGAAGCACCGGCUAACGCCGUGCCAGCAGCCGCGGUAAUUC
RNAcentral lists this ribosomal RNA (406 nucleotides) under uncultured bacterium. RNAcentral describes it as "partial 16S ribosomal RNA". It matches the Rfam family "Bacterial small subunit ribosomal RNA", at positions 30 to 526 of the family's 1533-position model. The record is from RNAcentral.